RNAcentral lists this ribosomal RNA (389 nucleotides) under Phaeocystis sp. Its description in RNAcentral is "partial small subunit ribosomal RNA". It matches the Rfam family "Eukaryotic small subunit ribosomal RNA", at positions 582 to 975 of the family's 1831-position model. The record is from RNAcentral. Lineage: Eukaryota; Haptophyta; Phaeocystales; Phaeocystaceae.
AUUCCAGCUCCAAUAGCGUAUAUUAAAGUUGUUGCAGUUAAAAAGCUCGUAGUCGGAUUUCGGGUCGGGCCGAGCGGUCUGCCGAUGGGUAUGCACUGUUUGGCGCGGCCUUCUUUCCGGAGACCGCGGCUACUCUUAACUGAGCGGGCGUGGGAGACGGAUCGUUUACUUUGAAAAAAUCAGAGUGUUUCUAGCAGGCAGCUCGCUCUUGCAUAGGUUAGCAUGGGAUAAUUUAAUAGGACUCUGGUGCUAUUUUGUUGGUUUCGAACACCGGAGUAAUGAUUAAAAGGGGCAGUCAGGGGCACUCGUAUUCCGUCGAGAGAGGUGAAAUUCUCAGACCAAUGGAAGACGAACCACUGCGAAAGCAUUUGCCAGGGAUGUUUUCAUCA